UGCAAGAGCAUCGGCUCUUUCGUUGCCUU
This 29-nucleotide small RNA is filed under the name Bombyx mori (domestic silkworm). RNAcentral's name for it is "ovarian small RNA-33349". The record is from RNAcentral. Lineage: Eukaryota; Metazoa; Arthropoda; Insecta; Lepidoptera; Bombycidae.